GCAAGCCACUAUGGUUGGCCCUUUCCAGCUUUAUUGAGCUAAGCUUUCUGGCCCCCAGAUCUGCACCUGACCUUUACCACCUCCUCAUCAUCCACUCUGGUCUGCAUCCUCUUGACCGCGUCUGAGUCUCCUUUGGGGCUGGAUGUCUGCUUCAGCAUUAGGAAAUGGACACAUCUAUAGAAUCUCUCAUGGCAACACACCAAGUAUUGUAAACUUCGUCCUUUCAACAAGUUAUAUUACUAAAAAUCGACAAACUGAACUCACAUGAAUGUGUACUUACAGAGUUGUGGCUCCUGAUUCUAUUUAAGGAUCUUAACUUCACUCUCACAGAUGGACCCACCUGUGGCUACGUUUACACACUAUGAUCCUAGCUAUUUUUCCUAGUGUUGGAAUGUUGGUCUGAGAUAUGGAAAUGACAGACCAUUCAUUGAGAAGUGCAGAAAAAAAGGAGAGCUACACAAUUUACCCAAGAGGUAUUUAUAAUCAUUGGGUAACAUCAAAAUCGGCAAUUAUGUAAAUUGGAAACCUUGGUUUUUAUUCAGUGGAGCUGUAUUAAAUCUUCAUUGGUACAGGAGAAAAGUGAGAGUUUAAUUUUAUACAUUCUUUCGAAUUCAAUUUAUGAUCACAUAAAUGUGCUUUUCCAUAUUAACUUUCUCAUAAAGAGCACAAUUUUCACUUUGAGGAAAAAUAGUAUUUCAGUGAACAAAUUCAAGAGCCCUUUAUAUCUGGCUUCAGUUAUGGGAAAAUAAAUCUAGAAGUCCUGACUGUGUUGAUUAAACUCUUAUAACUUUACAAGAUUAGAGCAAGAGUCUUUGAAAAUAAAAAGUCUUGAUUGAUAAUAAUGUUGAAAAUAUUAUUGUUAAAAACAAGGUCAUCCAUAUGUAUGAUUAAAGGUGGAAAGAGUUUGAAAUUCACCUCCAAUUUCUCAGUGAAGUAUGAAAGACAGCCAGAGAGUUUGUUCAUAAUAUUUGCAAGUAGAUUUUUAAAAAUUUAGACUUGAUACGUAAUCUAAAACAAAAUAUUCUCAAUCUUAUGCUUAACCUCAUGCCAUAAAGUGAAAAUGACGCUUUGAACUACCCUGGAUAAAUUUUAGAAUCAUUUUAUUGAAUAAAUUACUGGAAUAGAAAAUGUCCUAUAUCUACUAUUGCUUGCUUUUUUACUGCACCCUGCCCCAUCCCACUG
Molecule: long non-coding RNA, 1182 nt
Filed under: Homo sapiens (human)
Lineage: Eukaryota; Metazoa; Chordata; Mammalia; Primates; Hominidae
Description: HSALNT0341758
Source: RNAcentral